This 433-nucleotide ribosomal RNA is filed under the name uncultured bacterium. RNAcentral describes it as "partial 16S ribosomal RNA". It matches the Rfam family "Bacterial small subunit ribosomal RNA", at positions 29 to 507 of the family's 1533-position model. The record is from RNAcentral.
AACGAACGCUGGCGGCAUGCCUAACACAUGCAAGUCGAACGAGACCUUCGGGUCUAGUGGCGCACGGGUGCGUAACGCGUGGGAACCUGCCCUUAGGUUCGGAAUAACUCCCCGAAAGGGGUGCUAAUACCGGAUAAUGUCUUCGGACCAAAGAUUUAUCGCCUUUGGAUGGGCCCGCGUUGGAUUAGCUAGUUGGUAGGGUAAAAGCCUACCAAGGCGACGAUCCAUAGCUGGUCUGAGAGGAUGAUCAGCCACACUGGGACUGAGACACGGCCCAGACUCCUACGGGAGGCAGCAGUGGGGAAUAUUGGACAAUGGGCGAAAGCCUGAUCCAGCACUGCCGCGUGAGUGAUGAAGGCCUUAGGGUUGUAAAGCUCUUUUACCCGGGAUGAUAAUGACAGUACCGGGAGAAUAAGCGCCGGCUAACUCCGUG